AGGAGGAGGCGGAGGGAGAUACCAUUCUGCAGCUGAUCCACUUCAACAGGAGGAGAGAGGAGAGGAGAGAGGCGCGCUUCCUGGACCACACCAUCCCCGAGACAUAAAGGUUUGACGAGAAGGAACACAGUCAUUACCACUGGCAGCCAUAACUUUUCACCUCGGCGCUGGCGGCUUCCCUGACUGCAUCACUGCUAUCUGAUUCCCAUCCAGCCCCAGUGAGACAGGCGGCACAUAAACAAACAGAACCUGGGCGCGCAUGGACGGCCUAUCAAUCACUCCGCAGCCCCUUUCUUCGGCAGACGUCAGCCAAUUGCAAGUCCUCUGUGGGGGGCUUGGUGGGAGCCGGGGCAGGGAGACUUGGAAGCUCGGGUUUGGAGGCCCGCGGCCGGGGCUUCUGCGGAGCGCGAGGGGCCUCCUGCUCGAUGAAGUUGUUCUCCUCCGUUUCCUCUUGUGGAGGAUAGGAACUGUCAUCUUCAAGUAAAGUCACAAAAACAAGGUGAGCGCCCAGGUUCUGCCCAAUCUGUGGCAGUAAUCCUGCAGGGCCGUGCUCCCACAGACAGGUCUCAGCCCACUCCUCUGCUGUGCGCUCCAACUCUGUGUCCCAAACCUGCAGAGAAGACGAGAGAGUGAAACAAAGCCUCAAUGCGGAGAUAAAUCCAUAAACCUGGCGCUUCACCACAGCAGAAGGAAGCUGAGAAAGAUGGACUCGGACUUUCCCAGCCUUGUUGACACAUGCAGCUCCAGAACCACAGCUCCCAUUGAGAGUUUAGAGGAAGUUGGUGAGUGCAGGAAUGGCCUCACCAGCUUUGAGCAGCUCCUAAAACCCAAAAGACAUUCCCAUCUGGACAGGAUGCAAAACUGUGAGAUUCUGGUUUGAUGUAUGGCCAAGGAACCAGAAGGUGUUCUGCAGGAGUGAGGGCCAAGGACGAGGAAAGAAGAGUGGAGACUGAACCUGAGGGGAUGGUGGGUUUGUAUCUGUCUCGGCCAUGAAGCUACCUGAGGGAUCACUGCUGCAAACCUUUAUGACCAUGUUGCCUUAACCAGUCAGGGAAGGUCCUGUCAUGAGCCAUUCAUUGUAGCAGCGUUUGGCACGAGUGCUGUUUACAUUCUUGGCAUUAUAUUAAGCAGGUUCCGCGUGGGCCGGGAUUUGCCUCAUUGCGUCUCCUGUCUGUAAUAUUCCUGUUUGCUAUGCAGCCAGUGCACGUGAGGCCUGGAGACCGUCCUGUUCGGGGACAUUAAGGAUGAAUGUUAAUCUCUUGCUGUCGCGGUUUCACUGGAGCCUUGGAUGCGGAGUGGAUCGCUACAGGGACCAUGGUGUUCAGCUGCUGCUCUUUACAUGUAGAGAAACCAGUGGAUGUGUUUUGAACACUUGUGUCAGAUCUCCCUGGGCAGCUCCCUUUGAAGGUUUUCUGGAUUUCUGGAUAAUAUCGGAUGAUGGUUGGACAGACCCACGUCCCUCUGGAAAGAAUUCAUCACUAAGCACUAAGGGAUCCUGCAAGAGACGCAGAGCAAAGCUGCUGCUGGAACAAAAGAUGUUUGGGUUGCUUCACAUAAUUCUUCACCACUGGAGGCUGAUAAUUACUAUUCAUCGAAACCAUUUUCCCCCCAAACAGAUGCUGCCUAAAUAGGUCUUAGAUAUAUGUCUUAGAUUAAGUUAAUUUAGGGGCAAAUUUAUUUUCUAGACCUUAAUGAUUGUCUCACCAGGGCUUCACAGGUUGUGAAGCACAAGAGUGCGACAACAAAUUAAAGUGAUAAACUGAAGUCAUCCUGAGCAAGAUGUCAAUACCAGCUUCAUCCCGAAUCCCAAACAUCUCUUCCACCUGAGUGCAGCCCGGCGAAGCCAAGUUAAACAUAAAGGAAGGUGUGGACCUUUCUCCCAAGAUGCAUUCUGUUUGUCUUACAUCACUUCAAACGCUGACACGUCUGUGUUUAUACCUGUGGGUCAACAUUUGAGCGAGGGGCAGGAGACGCCGUCCCCCUCGACUGAGGCAGCACUGCAGCUCUGUGGAUCGCUACGGAGUGUGAAUGCUGAUCCGGGGGAAUUUUUCGGGCCUCUGUGUUGGAUAAUGACAGAAUGGGAACGGAGCCACAGGGAUAAGAGGGAGGGAGGCAGAGAGAGAGAGAGAGAGAGAGAGAGAGAGAGAGAGAGAGAGAGAGAAGGAUGGCAAGAAAAUGAAACAGAUGAAGAGGGAGGGAGGAGAGGGAUUUGAAUUGAUGUUAUCUCUGCGAUGACGGAGGGUCACUCAGGUUUCAUACAAUGGUUUCAUAAAAUAACAGAGCUGAUGGGCAAAUGGCGAUGUAUGUGCAACAGGAUUUGUGUGUGUGUGUGUGUGUGUGUGUGUGUGUGUGUGUGUGUGUGUGUGUGUGUGUGUGUGUGUGUGUGUGUGCAUGAGUGUGUUGAGGAGCAGGGGAGCAUGUCUAGGAAGUCUUCCAGUACAGUGAAGCUGUGAGGUUUCUGAGAGGUGACAGCAGUUCAACACAGACAGAGGGAGAAUCUGGAGCCCCUUUCAAAAUAAAAUAAAGAAAAACAAAAACACUCAACAUGUGACAUGAAGAGUUUUCUGCCUGAAAGAUGUUGACACAACAGAAUUGCAAAUAAGAUUUUGGCGUUUUACAAGUCGUUGUCUCUUCUUACUUUGCGCCUCUUCGAAAUGUCUCUUUCUUUUCUCAUUUCCUCUUCAUCUUCUUUUCAAUUAUUUCGACACCUGUUUUGCUGUCCUCUCUCCCUCCAUCUGCGUUUCAUUGCUUCCCCCUUCCUACUCGCAAAUCUCCAUUAUCUUCACCCCUGUAUUCCCUCCUAACUUUUCUCUCUCUUUCUCUCACCUCACGUCCUCUUGUUGCACGCCUCUCCAUAUUUCACCCCUGGGUGCCCCUGCAGCUAAAAAAAAAACAGCCCACUGUAACAGGAGACAGUAGAAAGGAGCUGUACAUUGCUGGCUCAGCGUUUCUCCACUGGUGUGCCUCAACCCGAGCUUCACACACACAUAUACACACAAGGGGUCCUGAAGUCCAACCUCUCAAUUAUACAAUUACACACUCCAGCAAUUGCCCCCAGCACGAACUGUUUAUUUGCCUUCGCCAUAGAAUAAUACUGCCUUUUGUUCUGCAGCUCUUUAAGCGGAGAUGAAACGAUGAUAAAAGCUCAUUAUCCUCUGCACGCCGUGGUGAUAUUUAACCUCUAAGUGCUGCUGGUGGCCAUGUACUGUGGCGGUCAAGCAGCGCCUACACAUGUAGUGUACUUGGAAAACUUCCAGAUCUGCAGCACACUAACUUUUAGAAGGUGUGUCGUGCCUGUGUGUGUGUGUGUGUGUGUGUGUGUGUGUGUGUGUGUGUGUGUGUGUGUGUGUGUGUGUGUGUGUGUGUGUGUGUGUGUUUAGUGGGGGGUGAGACAGCUGGUAAAACAAGCCCUGGUGCCGUGCUCUGAUUCUAAUUGCACUGUGAAAAGUGAUCUGGCGCUGUACACACAUGUGAUGGCCAGGGGAUAAAGUCAAACAAAUCUGUUAGCAUGAGUAAAAAAAGAAAAGAAAAGAGAAAAACCUAGUAGUAAUGUGAUCAUUGGCAAGUCGGUGGAAUUCUUCUCUUCUGGCUAAACAACCAAAAGUCACAUGAGUAUAAACUUGUGUGUCUGUGUGUUAGUGUGUGUGUGUAUGUGUGUGCGAAGGUGCCUAGAUGUUGGCGUGCUGCUCGUGAGUGAGUCAAGUGGAACAAGUGCCAGAGUGGUCAGGUGACUGGGUCAGUCCUAAGCUCUGCGGACCACAACCGUGCAAAACUCUCCGGGAGUUCAGAAUGGGGUCAAAGAGUUUUAACACAUAUAAAUUCCAUCAAACUGUGGGAAUCAUUCUGAAGGUGCACGUCCCGACACCUCCAUCCUCCAUCCACCUACCAUGUGCUCCAUGUUGGACGAGGGAGGGUACACCUGGCCUCUGAGCUUGUUGUGGAGGUCCAGGAUGACCUGAGCGUCGCUGUCCGUGAUGGCCCUCUUGCCCCUCUGCUUGGCCUCCCACCAGUCCCCGUCCUCGUCCAAAUACUUGUCCAGGAUCUGCUGCCAGCCCGUGGCGUUGGGGAGCAUCACCAUGGAGGUGGCGGCCUGGAGCAGCAGGAGCAGGGACGCGCCCCUCAGCCAGUGGAGGGAUUCACCACUCAUCCUUGGUAGUGACGGCGGUGAUGCUCUCAGAUUGAAGUAGGGUGGAAGAAGCUGUCUCCAGUCUAUGAGCUGGAAAAGGAGCCGAGAGGAGAGAGAGCGAAACUGAAAUAACUGUUCUGCAUCAAAUUGAUGAAUAACUUGGGUCAAUACUGAGCUCGGUGUGGACAGAACAUUGGCCUGCAGACACUGCGGUUCACUGAGGGCGAGCUGGCAGGCGGUGGGUGAGAGAAAUUCCUGCAAGUGCUGAACUGAAUAUUUCACAUCUUUUUUCCCAAAUCAAGAACCCAGUGAGGACAGAAAAGCUUCAAAUCACAUAAGAAGAAGCAGCUAAGUGCACAGAAUGAUUCAUAAUGCAGCUAAUGUAUUCACGCUGCUGUAUGUGUGUAUACUUUGAGCUGAACUCCUUUGGUAUGCGUGCUGCAGUGCUGAUAGAACGAGCCAAUACCUAAUGGAACACUGUAGAAGUGUAAUGCACAUGGAAAUGGAAAAUUGAGUGGUGUGAUUUAAACUCUGGAGAUAAUUUACCUUUUAAUGAAUUGGAACAGAGCCCUCUGCUCCAGAUGCUGACAGAGAUCUGGCUGUGAGAAGACGUCUGCAGCAGGGAGAGAUUAUGAAGAAUAAAAACUUUUAAAGAUCCGUCUCUUCAGGGUGGAGUUGCGCAGCUCAGGUGGAGCAGUGAGCAGUCGCUGGCUGAAGAUCUGGUGCGUAAAUCACAGCGCUCCGUUUCCACCAGCCUGCUGACAGAGGAAGUUCAAGUCUCUCUUCUUUCGGGAUUCUCGCUCCGGAGCUGCAGGAGCAUCACUUAUCCACAUUUUUAUCCUCGGCUUGGCUGCGGUGCGAGAGAGCCGCCCCCUGGCCCCGACCACGCCCCUCCACACAUGGAACCGGCCCACAGUCGCUUGUGCCAAGGACCUUUGCGCGCGUCCUGGAGUCGUGCGCGCCGGAGCCUGAAGCCUGUUCAGUAUAAUCUGAGCAGAAACUUAAUUUCUCUCCUUCAGUGUUGUGAUGAGCAAGUUAAACAUGAGACUCUGUGACACACACAUGCACAGAAAGUCUCUACUCAACAGAAUUAACACACAAUCAAGUAAAGUGUUAAUGUUUACUACCCCCAGUAUAGUAAGUUUAUAUUAACUGUUACUUUUAAAUAUAUCUUAUGAUAUAUCAUCUGAUUUGAGUGGCUAUAAAACUAUAAUAUACAGACAUUCAAGGACGCUGGGAGUGGGGGUGCUGAGGGGGCUGCAGCAGCUGUAACUUCAAGGGAAAAAUAUGUAGGAAUAUGACCUACAAAAUAAAACAUGAGUAUAAGAUGUGCACAUUCACAGUUAUCGCAGCAGUAAGCAGAGUUUUGGUGUGAACAGAAACUAUUCAGCUCAGGGUUGUGAGAGUUCACCUUGAUAUGACUUCAUUAAUGAACCUAAAUCUAGAUUCUCUUACAGGCCCAUCAUUGAAGGAACAAACUCUUUAAAUCAGUGUUACCUUUACUCGGGGGCACCCCUAAUGGGAGCCGCCCAAUCCUCUGUUAUGGAGCCCAAACUGUUUAAUGAAAUAGUGUAUGAUAGAAAAAACUGCAUAUAGUUGAGCUGUAGGUGAAUGUGACUACCAGUGUAAAACACUUUGAAUGGUCAAUAAAAAUCACUUAAUAAACAGCCCACAGUCCCUUUAACAUUAUUCCUUUCAUGCUCAGAGAGGAAACAAGCUCUACUGUAACAGCUUGUUGUUCCACUGUUCCUCUCGGUAACAGACCUCGGUCAAUAACAUAUUAACUUAAACCAGAACUUCCUCCUCUGGGGGGCCACACGGCAAAAAGUGGCCCCAUUCUCUCCUGCCGGAGUCUUAACUGUUCACAGGUGACUCCGUGGGGGGAUUAAAACACAAACCACCUCUCUGUUACAUCCAAACCCCCCGAACUUGUCGUCACCGUUUCCUCUCCCGGCAGCGAAUUCCAUAAUGGAAACGGGGCAAGUUCUUUACCUUUUGUCAUCUGGUCAUUUUCAGUGGGAGCUGUGGCACAAGUGGAAAACAGUAGCUAAUCACCACCAGGCCCUGUCCCUGCCCCCCCAGCCCCAGCCCUCCCCCCAGCCCCAGCCCUCCCUGGAUACAGACAAGACAGACUUUCCACAGGGGGAGACACACACACCUCUCUUGUAAUUUACCAAACACCGGCACAGCCAGCAUCGAUGUGUGUGUUUUCAGUAAAUCCCCUUGUUGUCAUGACUCUGGUGGGUUUUGUUUUGGCUUUCAGGCCUCAGGUGAGUCUGAGCCUGAAGAGACAGAUCUCUCACUCAGUCAUGGUAUUGCAGUCAACACUACAACAUGUGGUCGGCUAUCCUCCCUGUCAGAUGUACUGAGAAAUACAAAUACCACGAUGUAAAACUAUACUCCACUAAACGUAAAAGUAUUUACGACGUCCAAAGUACUUGUUCUAUACAAAAAAUAUCAUAUGUGACUGAUGUAUUAUUAUAAAAUAUGAUGUUAUUUAUUGGAUUGUUAAUGCUGAUUGUUAAGUGACAUAGUUUUACUGUUAAGACUUAACUAGUUAAUAUACGUUUAAAUAUAACAGUUUUUAAAUAUGACCUGCACCCUGAUCUGUGGAUUUCACUCCCAUGUUUGCUGUAGAGUUUAAUAUGGAAGUGAAAAAUAAAGCUGAAUCUAUAGCUUGA
Long non-coding RNA from Hippoglossus stenolepis (Pacific halibut), 6807 nucleotides. RefSeq lists it as uncharacterized. NCBI's taxonomy places the organism in Eukaryota, Metazoa, Chordata, Actinopteri, Pleuronectiformes, Pleuronectidae. The transcript has 6 exons. The record is from RefSeq and is a predicted model, not a curated record.